AUUGAACGCUGGCGGCAGGCCUAACACAUGCAAGUCGAGCGGAUGAAUGGAGCUUGCUCCUGGAUUCAGCGGCGGACGGGUGAGUAAUGCCUAUGAAUCUGCCUGGUCGUGGGGGAUAACGUCCGGAAACGGGCGCUAAUACCGCAUACGUCCUGAUGGAGCAAGUGGGGGAUCUUCGGACCUCACGCUAUCAGAUGAGCCUAGGUCGGAUUAGCUAGUUGGUGGGGUAAAGGCCUACCAAGGCGACGAUCCGUAACUGGUCUGAGAGGAUGAUCAGUCACACUGGAACUGAGACACGGUCCAGACUCCUACGGGAGGAAGCAGUGGGGAAUAUUGGACGAUGGGCGAAAGCGUGAUACAGCCAUGCCGCGUGUGUGAAGAAGGUCUUCGGAUUGUAAAGCACUUUAAGUUGGGAGGAAGGGCAGUAAGUUAAUACCUUGCUGUUUUGACGUUACCAACAGAAUAAGCACCGGCUAACUUCGUG
This 484-nucleotide ribosomal RNA is filed under the name uncultured bacterium. Its description in RNAcentral is "partial 16S ribosomal RNA". It matches the Rfam family "Bacterial small subunit ribosomal RNA", at positions 30 to 507 of the family's 1533-position model. The record is from RNAcentral.